GCAAGAGGUCUCCCAACACACAGUGGAAAUCUAGCAGCAAAGAAUGAAUCACCUGAAUAUUCAUGGUUUCACUCGCACGCCAGGAUAUUUAUAAGGUCACGCUCUGCCCAUGGUGGACAGACAGAGAUCUCCUGAGCUUUGGGAUGUCUCUGACUCUCAGCCACUCUUGGAAUCAGGAGAAGAAAGAGCAAAAGACAGGAAGCGGCUGAACUCAAUCCCCUCCCCAUCUCACGACUGCC
This 239-nucleotide long non-coding RNA is filed under the name Meriones unguiculatus (Mongolian gerbil). Its description in RNAcentral is "lncRNA (ENSMUGG00000002489.1)". Lineage: Eukaryota; Metazoa; Chordata; Mammalia; Rodentia; Muridae. The record is from RNAcentral.